Microcebus murinus (gray mouse lemur) is the source of this 1546-nucleotide non-coding RNA. NCBI's taxonomy places the organism in Eukaryota, Metazoa, Chordata, Mammalia, Primates, Cheirogaleidae. The record is from RefSeq and is a predicted model, not a curated record.
UCCUCCACCUUUGUGGUUUUUUAAUUUUUUUCAAAAUUGUUUUCCUCUUCUUCAUCCCUGGCAUUUCUAUGUAAAUGUUAUGAUUAACUUGUCAAUUUCCACUAAAAAAAAUAGGCAGAUCAGUUUUUGGCAGGAUUGCAUUGAACCUAGAGAUUAACUUGGGGAAGACUGUCAUCUUCACAAUAUUAAGUCUUCCAAUCCAUAAACAUGGCUUGUCUUCCCAUCUAUAAGCUAAGCAGGUUGCUCUGGUGAGAGCCUCUAGCACAAUGUGGACACAUGAAAUCCACAUGGCCUUCCUCAAAGAAUAUCAAAAUCCUAAGGGGCCUUGUUUGGGAAGGGACGCCCCAGCAAGGGGACGUUCUUCCCUUCCCAGCCCACCGCAUCCUGCUGCCGCCUUCUCCCUCCACUCCGCCCGGGCACGUGCUGCUGAGAUGAAAAGCACGUCUCCCCGCAGCAGCCAAAAAUAACAAACACAGAGAAAAAGCAACUGAAAACUGGGAGAGGAAGCAGGAUUCUGCAUCCUGACUGAUAACAUCCUCAAAAUCAAGGCCACAAAGACACAUUGGCACGGCCAUCCGUGGAGCUUGGGGGAUACCCAGGACCAGGUUGACCAAUGGGAGAAGGUCCCCACCCUGCAGGGUCAUCAGUUCAAGUCCCAUAAUUUUGUGCCUCCUAUUGAAGGAAUGUCGGUGUCCUUCCUGUAAACAGGUAAAAGCUCUACAAAUUCCUUGGGCCAUGUAUUUAUUUAACAAAUAUGAACUGAGAUUUCGCUGUGCCUGAGAUACACCGGUGGAUGCACAAGUCCCAGCCGAGGGAAGGGCACCUGGCAGUUAGGAUGUUUGCUGGAACUCACCUACCUCUUACCUUCUUUCUUCUGGCCUGUCUACUCCUUGCUCCCUUCCUCUAGCCACAUACUGUCGGCACCUGCCUUUGCCCAGGGCCUUUGCCUCUCCCCCUCCUGGCCCCAAAAGGAAAGCGUGAUGAAAUGGCCAUGGACCAGCACCUGCCUCGUUCUUGCCUGGGUGGGUUCUCUCAAGCGAGACAAGGAACUCUGAGUGUCCCAGCUCGUGCAGGGAUAGACACCUUAUCCUAUUUCGGAUCCGGGAUUUCUGUGCCGAUCAAAUAAUAUUCUGCCUGUGACACUGCCUUAUAGACUGCAAAGUAUUAUUCGAAUGUCACAAGCGCUAGUGAAGUGUGGCUUUGCUUCUCCCACGCUUUUCUAUUACUCCUGACAUUUCAAAUAUAGUAUUCCUCCUAUUUCAAAAUACUUGAUCUGUAAGUGGCCCUUAGUCCUGAUUCUUCCCUGACUUGGAUCACAGGAAAUUGCUCCUUGGGACUUUCUCACCAGGAAGGAAAGGAGGCUUUCCUUUCAUUUCCAGGCUGGAACCAGCUCCAAGCACUUCCUCCCCACCCUUCCCUCCAAACCCGGGUCGCAGACGCCCCCUGGUGGAAAUCAGGAGCAACUGUCUGGGAAACACCUCAUCUGUCCCCGGCCAGACACAAAGGCCCAGCGGAGGCGUCAGGUUGAAUUCAGGGGUGUCAGAAC